RNAcentral lists this long non-coding RNA (218 nucleotides) under Elaeis guineensis (African oil palm). RNAcentral describes it as "long non-coding RNA (EGUI_LNC060574)". The record is from RNAcentral. Lineage: Eukaryota; Viridiplantae; Streptophyta; Magnoliopsida; Arecales; Arecaceae.
AGCUUCCACAUCAGGCAAAUCCCAGACGAACUUCUCUAGCAAUCGGACUUCUAUCGAGCUUCACCAAUAGAAAGUCCCCAUCCGAGCUUCUACAGCAGAUGACUCCCGCCUGUAGCAUCAGUGCCCAAGGCAUCCGACAACAGUAGACUCGUCAGCAACCUCAAAAAUAUCCAAGCUUCUCCUAAAUUGCUGAGAUAGAAAGUCGUUCUGCUCCAUCA